This 492-nucleotide ribosomal RNA is filed under the name uncultured Weissella sp. Its description in RNAcentral is "bacterial SSU rRNA". It matches the Rfam family "Bacterial small subunit ribosomal RNA", at positions 28 to 475 of the family's 1533-position model. The record is from RNAcentral. Lineage: Bacteria; Bacillati; Bacillota; Bacilli; Lactobacillales; Lactobacillaceae.
GAUGAACGCUGGCGGCGUGCCUAAUACAUGCAAGUCGAACGCCUUGUGGUUCAACUGAUUUGAAGAGCUUGCUCGGAUAAGACGUUGAACAUUGCAAGGAGUGGCGAACGGGUGAGUAACACGUGGGAAACCUACCUCUUAGCGGGGGAUAACAUCUGGAAACAGAUGCUAAUACCGCAUAACACUUAUGACCGCAUGGUCAAGAGUUGAAAGAUGGUUCUGCUAUCACUAGAGAUGGGCCCGCGGUGCAUUAGUUAGUUGGUAAGGUAAUGGCUUACCAAGACGAUGAUGCAUAGCCGAGUUGAGAGACUGAUCGGCCACAAUGGGACUGAGACACGGCCCAUACUCCUACGGGAGGCAGCAGUAGGGAAUCUUCCACAAUGGACGAAAGUCUGAUGGAGCAACGCCGCGUGUGUGAUGAAGGGUUUCGGCUCGUAAAACANUGUUGUAAGAGAAGAACGACACCGAGAGUAACUGUUCGGUGAGUGACGG